UACGAAGGGGACUAGCGUUGUUCGGAAUUACUGGGCGUAAAGCGCACGUAGGCGGAUUGCUAAGUCAGGGGUGAAAUCCCGGGGCUCAACCUCGGAACUGCCUUUGAUACUGACAAUCUCGAGUCCGAUAGAAGUGGGUGGAAUUCCUAGUGUAGAGGUGAAAUGCGUAGAUAUUGGGAAGAACACCAGAGGCGAAGGCGGGUUGCUGGGCCGACACUGACGCUGAGGCGCGAAAGCCAGGGGAGCAAACGGG
This 253-nucleotide ribosomal RNA is filed under the name uncultured bacterium. RNAcentral describes it as "partial 16S ribosomal RNA". It matches the Rfam family "Bacterial small subunit ribosomal RNA", at positions 524 to 776 of the family's 1533-position model. The record is from RNAcentral.